RNAcentral lists this ribosomal RNA (497 nucleotides) under uncultured bacterium. Its description in RNAcentral is "partial 16S ribosomal RNA". It matches the Rfam family "Bacterial small subunit ribosomal RNA", at positions 28 to 507 of the family's 1533-position model. The record is from RNAcentral.
GAUGAACGCUGGCGGCGUGCCUAAUACAUGCAAGUCGAGCGAACAGACGAGGAGCUUGCUCCUCUGACGUUAGCGGCGGACGGGUGAGUAACACGUGGAUAACCUACCUAUAAGACUGGGAUAACUUCGGGAAACCGGAGCUAAUACCGGAUAAUAUAUUGAACCGCAUGGUUCAAUAGUGAAAGACGGCUUUGCUGUCUCUUAUAGAUGGAUCCGCGCCGCAUUAGCUAGUUGGUAAGGUAACGGCUUACCAAGGCAACGAUGCGUAGCCGACCUGAGAGGGUGAUCGGCCACACUGGAACUGAGACACGGUCCAGACUCCUACGGGAGGCAGCAGUAGGGAAUCUUCCGCAAUGGGCGGAAGCCUGACGGAGCAACGCCGCGUGUGUGAUGAAGGUCUUCGGAUCGUAAAGCUCUGUUAUUAGGUAAGAACAAAUGUGUAAGUAACUAUGCACGUCUUGACGGUACCUAAUCAGAAAGCCACGGCUAACUACGUG